This 253-nucleotide ribosomal RNA is filed under the name uncultured bacterium. RNAcentral describes it as "partial 16S ribosomal RNA". It matches the Rfam family "Bacterial small subunit ribosomal RNA", at positions 524 to 776 of the family's 1533-position model. The record is from RNAcentral.
UACGUAGGGGGCGAGCGUUAAUCGGAAUCAUUGGGCGUAAAGCGCGUGUAGGCGGCUUGGUAAGUCUGGUGUGAAAACUUGGGGCUCAACCCCAAGCGGGCACUGGAUACUGCCUCGCUCGAGUCCGGGAGAGGAGAGCGGAACUCCCAGUGUAGCGGUGAAAUGCGCAGAUAUUGGGAAGAACACCGGUGGCGAAGGCGGCUCUCUGGAACGGUACUGACGCUGAGACGCGAAAGCGUGGGGAGCGAACAGG